This is a long non-coding RNA of Mauremys reevesii (Reeves's turtle), 1116 nucleotides long. RefSeq lists it as uncharacterized. The transcript has 3 exons. NCBI's taxonomy places the organism in Eukaryota, Metazoa, Chordata, Testudines, Geoemydidae. The record is from RefSeq and is a predicted model, not a curated record.
ACUGAGUCACUACAUUCCAAUCAAUAUGUGUAUACCCUCAACAACAUGGCAGUCUGCCCAAGAGAGGAGACAGUUGCAGAAGCCUAAGAAUGGGUUGUCCUUGCUGGACCAUGGAGGGAGAAUACAUGCACAGUUGCCUUGCACUAUGACAUCUAUUUGCCCCUGAAACCAGAAAUCAAGAUCACCAGUUCCACGGAACCGAACCACAGUAAGAGAUCCACAAGAUGGCAGAAAAGCAUCCAGAAUGAUGGUAGUGGUCCAAAGCAAUUGAUUCAGCAUCCUGAUGAAGGGCAGUCUAAACAAACAACAGUUGGAGACAGACACAAUAGAGCAAGAGCAAGUGCCACGAGUAGAAGCAGACAAAAAAAAUUGGAGGGAAAAAAUGGUGAGGGUGGAGAGGAAGAAACAUUUUGCACACUUUUUUGGUUGUGAAAAAGAUCUGCAAGUUUGAACCAGGCCUCUCCCUGCCCCAAUCAGAAAGCAGCUAUGAAGAGGCAGCCUAUACAGAGUGGAAGUUUAAAGAAAUAACUGGAGGCGGCAUGCUUCAGUUUAGUAGAGAAUCACUCCUUCAGAUUACAAGUCUGAUUUAGAAAUGGAAGGAAAGAGAUACACAGGUAUGCGUAAAAUGGAACUGAGCAGGUAACCAACAGACAGAAUUCAAAGAAACAUAGUGAACAAAUUAGCUUUAGAUUAAAAAAAAUAAUUACAAAGAGUGACCACUAAAGGAUUAACAUCAAUAGUAUCAUUAAACUGCUAUUUAAAAAGAUCAGGACAAUUGGAUGGGGAAAGAGGAAGCAAUAAAUACAAAUUAGUGGGAAUACAAGAAAAUAAAAGAUGCAAGAACAACAGAGAACACCAAGUUAUGGUCAAGUCUUGACGUGGUGCUGGCAAGAGCAAGAAGCACAGAGGGAAGUGCUAUCAUUAAUAAAAUAAUAACAACAACAACAACUCAGAAGAGACACAGAUAGUCACCCUUACUUCCAGACAAAGUGAUACUUAUAGCCAUAUAAGUGCCUUCCAAGCCUGAAAAAUCAACUUUAACGUUACACUUUAAGAAAACUCAAGAUAUUAGAAAGUAUGAAAAAGCAGUUACCCAAACAACCUCCCACUCCCAUC